AGCGCAGGCGGUUAUUUAAGUCAGGUGUGAAAGCCCCGAGCUCAACUUGGGACGUGCAUUUGAAACUGGAUAACUAGAGUGUGUCAGAGGGGGGUAGAAUUCCACGUGUAGCAGUGAAAUGCGUAGAGAUGUGGAGGAAUACCGAUGGCGAAGGCAGCCCCCUGGGAUAAUACUGACGCUCAUGCUCGAAAGCGUGGUAGCAAACA
RNAcentral lists this ribosomal RNA (206 nucleotides) under uncultured bacterium. Its description in RNAcentral is "partial 16S ribosomal RNA". It matches the Rfam family "Bacterial small subunit ribosomal RNA", at positions 568 to 774 of the family's 1533-position model. The record is from RNAcentral.